AACGAACGCUGGCGGCAUGCCUAACACAUGCAAGUCGAACGAGACCUUCGGGUCUAGUGGCGCACGGGUGCGUAACGCGUGGGAACCUGCCCUUAGGUUCGGAAUAACUCCCCGAAAGGGGUGCUAAUACCGGAUAAUGUCUUCGGACCAAAGAUUUAUCGCCUUUGGAUGGGCCCGCGUGGGAUUAGCUAGUUGGUAGGGUAAAAGCCUACCAAGGCGACGAUCCAUAGCUGGUCUGAGAGGAUGAUCAGCCACACUGGGACUGAGACACGGCCCAGACUCCUACGGGAGGGAGGAGUGGGGAAUAUUGGACAAUGGGCGAAAGCAUGAUCCAGCAAUGCCGCGUGAGUGAUGAAGGCCUUAGGGUUGUAAAGCUCUUUUACCCGGGAUGAUAAUGACAGUACCGGGAGAAUAAGCUCCGGCUAACUCCGUG
RNAcentral lists this ribosomal RNA (433 nucleotides) under uncultured bacterium. Its description in RNAcentral is "partial 16S ribosomal RNA". It matches the Rfam family "Bacterial small subunit ribosomal RNA", at positions 29 to 507 of the family's 1533-position model. The record is from RNAcentral.